GGCAGAGGGUGCUAGCGUUGUUCGGAAUGACUGGGCGUAAAGGGCGCGUAGGCUGUUAAUCAAGUUAGGUGUGAAAGCCCCGGGCUUAACCUGGGAACUGCAUUUAAUACUGGUUGACUGGAGAGCGGGAGAGGAAAGCGGAAUUCCUAGUGUAGAAGUGAAAUCUGUAGAUAUUAGGAGGAACACCAGAGGCGAAGGCGGCUUUCUGGCUCGCAACUGACGCUGAGGCGCGAAAGCGUGGGGAGCAAACAGG
RNAcentral lists this ribosomal RNA (253 nucleotides) under uncultured bacterium. Its description in RNAcentral is "partial 16S ribosomal RNA". It matches the Rfam family "Bacterial small subunit ribosomal RNA", at positions 524 to 776 of the family's 1533-position model. The record is from RNAcentral.